UUAAAAUGCCCUAUUUAUCAGAGUGAAGAAAAAAAAAAUCCCAGCUUAAGCCAAAGAAUAUAGGAUCUAAAAUACAGGCUGUGAAUUUAAUUUGUCUUGCAGCCGUGGUGCCCCAGUAACAGGAGGUGAUUUAUGGUUCUCCCGGGGGAAGGCAGAAGGCGAGCCAGAGAAGGAGUGCCGAUCCUUUUCUGCUCUCCUUGCCCCACUCUCACUCUGCCUCCCUGGACUCUGUCUGCUCUGUGUCCUGGGGGAAAGUAGCUCCCUGAGUCUGUGCAGAGCUCAGCUGCUGCUGGAGCUGGGCAAGCAUGGAUUCUGCCUUGAACGGACAUCUGGAACAUCCCCAAGUUGUUGAGUUGAACAGAAGAGGAGCAUCCUGAAAUAGCCUCUGAAGCUGCAUAAAGACCUGCAUAAACCUCAGAUCUGACAACAGUGGACCCAAAGGCAGACCACUGGUGAUGUGGCAGAUAUGGAUAAUGAUGGGGACUCUAUUCACCUGGCUUGAGACCUAUGUGUGUGAACACUCCCUGCCUAAGAGAAAAUGUUCUCAUCCUCUGACCCACAGAAAGCAAGGCUUCAUGAUAACAGCUAGUGCUGUGGCCGCACAUUUCCUGAGUUCCUUAAGAAGUGGCAGAUCUGGCAUGGUGGACUUCUCCUUCUCCUUAUACAUCUGCGGGUUAAAUGGCAGAAAAGAACAUGACAAGAUCAACACCACCAGGCAUGACCCUGACUGGAAGAACUUUAUCAAUUCUCUCUCCGAAUCACCCGAAUUUAAAGCAAGGCACUUAUUUGGAAGAGUUUUAGUUUAAACAUCCAGAAAGGGGUGACACUAUGAUUAUAAGGAAUGUUUUCCAUACUGGGCUGGAGACCCAAAUGGGGAGAUGAGAAAAUCAAGAAGGAGGUUUGGACCACAGGGAAACUGGUGAGGAUUAGGAAUGAUCCAUACAAAUUGUGUUCUCAUCCUCAUGUUAGGGCUAAAGUUCCGAUUCUACUCUGUUAAACUGUGACUUCAUGGUACUGGCAAGAUGGCUCAGCAGACAAAGAUGCCUUUGCCUCCUGACAUCGUAACCUUGACUUUUCAGCCUCUGGAACUAUGGGAAAACACACUUCACAUUUCAAUGAUCUGCUAGUGGAUCUGCUAGUGGCUUUGCUAGCCCUAAUCAAUACUGCAAGAUGCAGAUGCCAGGCUAGAUGUCAUUAUGUACCUGAUUUCUACCAAGCCACAGCUGACUCUUCCAUGCAACACGUGGGGUAUUUAAAUUGUGUGUGCUUAAGAACUACCCCAAGCAACACCAUUUUAAUGAACAACAUGGUGAUUUCCAGAAAUCUAAUUCCGUGAGAUUUCUCUUCUAUGCAGAAGCCAGGGUUGAGAAUCACCUGCCUGUAUGUUUGAACUACUUAUGUUUCUUCAGAGUCAGUUCUAAUCUGGAAGAUCACAUGCACACAGCAGCCCUAUAUUCCUCUAUCUCUUCGAGGCAGCUACUCUGUCAUUCCUUACUGUUUUAGUUUCUUCCCAGCAUUGAUGACUCUGUCUAAUGUCUUUGAUGUACAUGGUAAUUUAAUUUCUUCUUUCUCUGAAAAUAUAAGCUUAGAGAGGUUAGAGCCCGGCACCCUUUUCCCUUCAGUGCUGGUGACAGCCAGCAUUAUGAGCAGAUGGGUCGCUAAGGUGGGUGCCUUCCCUCCCUUGCUCCAGCUCAUAGGUCAGGAAUGGAAGAAGCAGGAUUUGUGCCCAGGCUGAAUUGAAUUCACAGCCAUCCUGCUGGGCUACUAACGCAUUCAUUAUUUUCUCUCCACACCGUGCUUCACUGACUGUCAUUUUCUACCACGGACUUUCAUUUUGUCUCUCAACGGAACUCCAAGGAAGUACCCACCACCAGCUCUAUUUUACAGAUCAGAAAACUGGGGGCCUGAAUGUGUGUGAGGGAUUGUGUGAGUCCCUCCCCAUCCCAUAGGAGCUGUUUCUGUAGUGUGUCAGCCCCACAGACUUUCUGUCCUCUUGUUGAGUUGAUUCCUUCCCCCUCCUGCCCUGAGAAGAGAUGUUCAGUUUCCACUGAGCAUCUCCCAUCAGCGUAGAGGCAGCAGGAUUUGGCUGGGUCUUGUGAAGAGCAGUCAGCUCCCGCCUGACCAUAAACUGCCUGUGUCCCAGAUGGUCUCUGCAUCUCUGGGAAUACAGGCAGCACUCUAGGAUUCAACGACUUUAACAAAUGACUAUGUGAAGUUUGGAGGGAAACGUUGGGGGUGGGGAUGAGGAAUGGGAGGAUUUGAAGCAGAAGGAAUAGUGGGUGAAUUUGAUCAAAACACAUUAUAUUCACAUACACAAGUUCUCAAACAAUAAAUUAAAUAAUAGUAAUAAUUAAAAAAAAAACAGCACACUGAGUCAGACACUUCAGGAGGAAAAAAAAAAAAAAAAACAAGAAAUAGCUUGGCACAACUGUUCCCAGCCUUAAACUAUGCCGGCUUCUUCCCGUAGCUCUGCCAGCCCAAGGUUGCCUGCUGCCACUUGAGCCUCACGUUAGAACGUGGGAAGGUUGGAAGCUUCCGGGAGAAGGUGAAAGGGAUUUGAGUCAAGCUCAUCAAGGAUGUGACAGCUGGGGGGACUCAAGUGAUAAAGA
Meriones unguiculatus (Mongolian gerbil) is the source of this 2609-nucleotide long non-coding RNA. RefSeq lists it as uncharacterized. Lineage: Eukaryota; Metazoa; Chordata; Mammalia; Rodentia; Muridae. The record is from RefSeq and is a predicted model, not a curated record. The transcript is spliced from 3 exons.